Molecule: ribosomal RNA, 253 nt
Filed under: uncultured bacterium
Lineage: Bacteria
Description: partial 16S ribosomal RNA
Rfam family: Bacterial small subunit ribosomal RNA
Source: RNAcentral
UACGGGGGGGGCAAGCGUUGUUCGGAAUUACUGGGCGUAAAGCGUGCGCAGGCGGCUAUUUAAGUUUGCUGUGAAAGCCCCGGGCUUAACCUGGGAACUGCAGUGAGGACUGGAUGGCUGGAGUGUGGCAGAGGGGGGUGGAAUUCCACGUGUAGCAGUGAAAUGCGUAGAGAUGUGGAGGAACACCGAUGGCGAAGGCAGCCCCCUGGGCUGACACUGACGCUCAGGCACGAAAGCGUGGGGAGCAAACAGG